Molecule: transfer RNA, 75 nt
Filed under: Physomerus sp.
Lineage: Eukaryota; Metazoa; Arthropoda; Insecta; Hemiptera; Coreidae
Description: tRNA-Lys
Source: RNAcentral
CAUUAAGUGGCUGAAAGUGUCAAGCAUUGGUCUCUUAAACCAAAUUAUAGUAUAUUUUAACAAAUACUCUUAAUG